Molecule: non-coding RNA, 73 nt
Organism: Podarcis lilfordi (Lilford's wall lizard)
Lineage: Eukaryota; Metazoa; Chordata; Lepidosauria; Squamata; Lacertidae
Source: the annotation of a GenBank genome assembly
UAUGUGGCUCAGUCAGGAGGGCAUGAGACUCUUAAUCUCAGGUUUGUGGGUUCGAACCCCACGUUGGGCAAAA